This 492-nucleotide ribosomal RNA is filed under the name uncultured bacterium. RNAcentral's name for it is "partial 16S ribosomal RNA". It matches the Rfam family "Bacterial small subunit ribosomal RNA", at positions 29 to 507 of the family's 1533-position model. The record is from RNAcentral.
AGUGAACGCUGGCGGUAGGCCUAACACAUGCAAGUCGAACGGCAGCACAGUAAGAGCUUGCUCUUACGGGUGGCGAGUGGCGGACGGGUGAGGAAUACAUCGGAAUCUACUUUUUCGUGGGGGAUAACGUAGGGAAACUUACGCUAAUACCGCAUACGACCUACGGGUGAAAGCAGGGGAUCUUCGGACCUUGCGCGAUUGAAUGAGCCGAUGUCGGAUUAGCUAGUUGGCGGGGUAAAGGCCCACCAAGGCGACGAUCCGUAGCUGGUCUGAGAGGAUGGUCAGCCACACUGGAACUGAGACACGGUCCAGACUCCUACGGGAGGCAGCAGUGGGGAAUAUUGGACAAUGGGGGCAAGCCUGAUCCAGCCAUACCGCGUGGGUGAAGAAGGCCUUCGGGUUGUAAAGCCCUUUUGUUGGGAAAGAAAAGCAGCAGGUUAAUACCCCGCUGUUCUGACGGUACCCAAAGAAUAAGCACCGGCUAACUUCGUG